Mesoplodon densirostris (Blainville's beaked whale) is the source of this 436-nucleotide long non-coding RNA. RefSeq lists it as uncharacterized. The record is from RefSeq and is a predicted model, not a curated record. Lineage: Eukaryota; Metazoa; Chordata; Mammalia; Artiodactyla; Ziphiidae. The transcript is spliced from 3 exons.
UCCCAUCUGGAGGACUGAAUGAAAGUGAAUUUUCCUUGGAAACUCAAAGCUCUGGGAAGAACUCCAGUUGGAACUUUAAAUUUGGGAGUAAUCUGUGUGAAUGGAAUUGACAACAGUCAAGGAUGAGGAAAUGAACUUCACCCAUGUGGAGGAGGAACAGCUGAAUUCUGCCCAAAGCCUCUCACGUUGCAGAGCACAGGCUCCGGACGCGCAGGCUCAGCGGCCAUGGCUCACAGGCCCAGCCGCUCCGUGGCAUGUGGGAUCUUCCCGGAUCGGGACACGAACCCGUGUCCCCUGCAUCGGCAGGCAGACUCCCAACCACUGCGCCACCAGGGAAGCCCCAAAUUAUCUAUUCUUGAACUAACUCUGGUAAUGAUUUCCCAUCUUUCAUUCCUGAUAUUGAUAAUCUCUGUCUUCUCUGUUUUAAUUUUGUUGG